RNAcentral lists this non-coding RNA (29 nucleotides) under Bombyx mori (domestic silkworm). Lineage: Eukaryota; Metazoa; Arthropoda; Insecta; Lepidoptera; Bombycidae. The record is from RNAcentral.
UCCUCUGUCACGAUUCACCCAAUCCACAA